RNAcentral lists this ribosomal RNA (439 nucleotides) under uncultured bacterium. Its description in RNAcentral is "bacterial SSU rRNA". It matches the Rfam family "Bacterial small subunit ribosomal RNA", at positions 958 to 1398 of the family's 1533-position model. The record is from RNAcentral.
AACGCGAAGAACCUUACCCAGGCUUGACAUGCAGAGGACGAUACCAGAAACGGUAUUUCCCUUCGGGGCUUCUGCACAGGUGCUGCAUGGCUGUCGUCAGCUCGUGCCGUGAGAUGUUGGGUUAAGUCCCGCAACGAGCGCAACCCUUGUCCUUAGUUGCCAUCAUUUAGUUGGGAACUCUAAGGAGACCGCCGGUGACAAACCGGAGGAAGGUGGGGAUGACGUCAAGUCAUCAUGGCCCUUAUGACCAGGGCUACACACGUGCUACAAUGGUAGGUACAAAGGGUUGCCAAGCCGCAAGGCGGAGCCAAUCCCAUAAAGCUUAUCGUAGUCCGGAUCGGAGUCUGCAACUCGACUCCGUGAAGUCGGAAUCGCUAGUAAUCGUAGAUCAGCAUUGCUACGGUGAAUACGUUCCCGGGCCUUGUACACACCGAGUAUA